AUGAACCAUUUCAUCCUGGUGCACGGCCUCUGCCACGGGGCCUGGUGUUGGUACAAGGUGGUUGCGGCGCUUCAGGCAGCGGGGCACCGUGUCACGGCGGUCGACCUGGCCGCGUCCGGCGCUCACCCGGCGCGCAUCGACGAGGUGCACUCGUUCGAGGAGUACUCCCAGCCUCUGCUUGACGUAGUGGCCGCGGCGCCAGAGGGUGGCGGCGAGAGGCUGAUUCUGGUCGGGCACAGCCACGGCGGGCUCAGCUUGGCGCUAGCCAUGGAGAGGUUCCCCGGCAAGGUCGCCGCCGCCGUGUUCGCAGCCGCCGGGAUGCCGUGCGUUGGCAAGCACAUGGGCGUCACCACCGAG
RNAcentral lists this ribosomal RNA (357 nucleotides) under Triticum aestivum (bread wheat). RNAcentral describes it as "partial small subunit ribosomal RNA". The record is from RNAcentral. Lineage: Eukaryota; Viridiplantae; Streptophyta; Magnoliopsida; Poales; Poaceae.